Molecule: long non-coding RNA, 581 nt
Filed under: Anas platyrhynchos platyrhynchos (common mallard)
Lineage: Eukaryota; Metazoa; Chordata; Aves; Anseriformes; Anatidae
Description: lncRNA (ENSAPLG00000021854.1)
Source: RNAcentral
CACUGGGCGCUGCAGCACCCCGACUCCUUCCUGCUGGAGCCGGCGCUGGCGGAGGUGGUGGCGGAGCUGCGGCGAGCGGCGCUGCACGAGGGGCGCGAGGGGCACGCGCGGCUGCUGGACACCAGCCACGUGUAAGGGCGGGCACGCGCGUGUGCAAGGCCGGGGGGGUGAGGGGGGUGCGGGGGCAAAAGGCGGGGGGGGCUGCGCACGUGUGUGUGCAAGGAGGGUGGGGGGAGUGUGCAACGGGGCGUGCACGGGGCUGUGCGUGCAAGGAAAACGUGCGUGGGGCAUGGGUGUGCAAGGUGUGUGUGCAUGGGGCUGUGCACAUGUGUGCAAGCAGCGCAUGCACAUGCAAGCAAUGCAUGCAUGGAGCAUGUGCAUGCAAUGUGUGCAUGGUGCAUGGUGCAUGGUGCAUGGUGCAUGGUGCAUGGUGCACGGUGCACGUCGGUGCCCGGUGCACGUGCGUGUGACCCCCGCGUGCAGGCUGCUGCCUCCCCCCGCCCGGCCCCCUCUGGCCCCCCCCCGGCCCCCCCGGGACCCCCGGGGGCAGCCCCAAGCGCAAGCUGUCGCUGCUCUUCGAC